Molecule: ribosomal RNA, 434 nt
Filed under: uncultured bacterium
Lineage: Bacteria
Description: bacterial SSU rRNA
Rfam family: Bacterial small subunit ribosomal RNA
Source: RNAcentral
ACGGAAGGCAGCAGUGGGGAAUAUUGCACAAUGGGGGAAACCCUGAUGCAGCGACGCCGCGUGAAGGAAGAAGUAUUUCGGUAUGUAAACUUCUAUCAGCAGGGAAGAAAAUGACGGUACCUGACUAAGAAGCCCCGGCUAACUACGUGCCAGCAGCCGCGGUAAUACGUAGGGGGCAAGCGUUAUCCGGAUUUACUGGGUGUAAAGGGAGUGUAGGCGGCGAUGCAAGUCAGAUGUGAAAGGCGUGGGCUCAACCCGCGGACUGCAUUUGAAACUGUAUUGCUAGAGUGUCGGAGAGGUAAGUGGAAUUCCUAGUGUAGCGGUGAAAUGCGUAGAUAUUAGGAGGAACACCAGUGGCGAAGGCGGCUUACUGGACGAUAACUGACGCUGAGGCUCGAAAGCGUGGGGAGCAAACAGGAUUAGAUACCCUGGUA